This 452-nucleotide ribosomal RNA is filed under the name uncultured bacterium. Its description in RNAcentral is "bacterial SSU rRNA". It matches the Rfam family "Bacterial small subunit ribosomal RNA", at positions 335 to 787 of the family's 1533-position model. The record is from RNAcentral.
CCGCUACGGGAGGCAGCAGUAGGGAAUAUUGGCAAUGGAGGCAACUCUGACCCAGCCAUGCCGCGUGCAGGAAGAAGGCGUUAUGCGUUGUAAACUGCUUUUAUAUAGGAAGAAAGAGUUCUUGCGAGAACAGUUGACGGUACUAUAUGAAUAAGCACCGGCUAACUCCGUGCCAGCAGCCGCGGUAAUACGGAGGGUGCAAGCGUUGUCCGGAUUUAUUGGGUUUAAAGGGUGCGUAGGCGGUUUAUUAAGUCAGUGGUGAAAGACGGUCGCUCAACGAUUGCAGUGCCAUUGAUACUGGUAGACUUGAGUGAGUUUGAGGUAGCUGGAAUGGAUAGUGUAGCGGUGAAAUGCAUAGAUAUUAUCCAGAACACCAAUUGCGUAGGCAAGUUACUAAGACUCAACUGACGCUGAGGCACGAAAGUGUGGGUAUCAAACAGGAUUAGAUACCC